GCUUCUGCUUCUGCUUCAGCCCUUUCCCUUCCUACUGAUGAUACAACUCAUCCUGAUAUGCUGGAUGUGGCCCACAAAUCUCUCAUUUGUUCUUCUGAUGGAACAACUUGAGUUUUAGUGGAGCAGUGCAUGCUACUGUUUAAGUAAACAAUGAUUUUCCUGCUGUCAAACAUAAUUCUCGUGAUUUGGGCAGUGAUUCGGUAUGCUGUACUUUCGAGGCAGUGGUUGGUGAAUCUUUAAAAGCAGCUUCUGAGUCGAGUUUUGAGUUGCUGGUCAAGUCUCUUGGCUCUUCUUCUGAUAUGUCUCCUCUCUGAUUCUAGUGCGGUUUCUCACAACGCGAAUGAGGUGCUAAAAGAAUCUCUUGUGCUUUUCCCUGCUGAAUGUAACCCUCACAAGAGAGGAACUGUUCCAGAUAUGUAUGAGAUAGGUGUUGGGAGUAGAUGAGUUGAGCUGAAUGACCAUGCUUUUGGCAAGGUUUCUGUACACUGCUAUUGCUGAGAUUACUACUGAUCCCCUGGGGGCUCAGCAACAGAUUUCUGGUGGGAGUGGUAAUGUUCAUUGUAACUAUGAGUCACUGAAAUCCAGUGCAUGUGGCUUCAGUUGUUCAGCAUGGUUCACCUGUGACAAAUAAAUCUGCCGUGACUUCGAUUGAGUAGGAUCUUCUUCAUACUUCGAAUGAGGGUACACUUCAUAAAAUAAAAGGUGAAGUUGCUGCUGUUGAACUGGAUUUCUCUGCUUUUGCUGACAAUUCCUUAUGCCACAUAGCUGUGGUGAUCACUAAAUCUCCAGAUGUUGUGCCUUAGUGUCUAACUUGCAAGCUGCAGGUAUGGAUGCAGUUCAGUGUAAUUCUGAGUAUCUAUAGAACUUGCCAAGGUUUGUUUCUAGUGUGGAUUGUCUCAUCUGGAGGGGGCCAUGCAUGUGAUAUUUCUGAGAUGAUAACUAGAUCAGGACAGGCCAUGUGUUGUUCCCGUCCAUGCUUCUGCAGAGCAUAUUAUUUUUGAUAAUGACUUAGUUGCUCCACCAUUCAUGCCAUUGGAAAGGUCAGUGUAGCGUUACCAAUAGUCAGUUACUGCAAACACAUUCAUGCCGUUGGAAAGGUCAGUGUAGCGUUACCAAUAGUCAGUUGCUGCAAACACAUUCAUGCCAUUGGAAAGGUCAGUAUAGCAUUACCAAUAGUCAGCUACUGCAAACACAUUCAUGCCGUUGGAAAGGUCGGUGUAGCAUUACCAAUAGUCAGUUACUGCAAACACAUUUUCAGUUGAAAACUCAAUAUUGAAGACAUCGCUCCCAUAAUGGACUUCAUGGGCAUAUGCAAUUCUGUUAUUUCAAUCUGCUGAACAUCUGUUGCUUGAGCUUUUGCUUGUGGGUGAUGCAGUACAAUUACAGGAGGGAACCACCAGUGUGCCUAAUAUCCAUGUAACAAAAUUUAUCCUGCCUAGUGCAUCUUGGAUUGAUUGGCGAAAAGCAACAUACUGCAACAAGUGGGUUAUGCAUGUGUUUUGAGAAGAAGAUGAGGAUCUGGAGUUGGAAGCUUUGUCAUGCUUCUUACUCUGAUUUUGUGGAGUGCAUCUCUGUGCAGGCACAUGCACAAGUAGAAACCAGAAGGUCGAUGGCACCUCUCAGAGAAUCCAGGGUACAAAAGAACACGAUGCCUUUUGAAUCCAGUUUUCUUAAGCAUUACAGUGGCGAUGCUUGCGCACGUGUCAUUUCCUAUGAUCUAAGCGGCUUAGGUUGCUUAAUCUCCUCAUUAAUGUUGAAUAGGAAUAAUUAAUGGCGAAGGUGAAGAAGGGAAACAACAUUCCAAGGCAGGGAGAGGUUAUUGCUUGGAUUAGCUAUCAUGCAGUGUGGAAGUUAAUAAAGUUUCAUCAUUUACCAAAUCUUCUCCAACCAUACAGACUUAAGCAACUAACCAGGGAAGCUGGGAAUAGGCGUGUGCCUGAACUUCACAGGGAGGCUGGGAAUAGGCAUGUGCAUGAACUUGCUUCCUUCUUCUACAUGUGAUCUGUGAUUCUGAGUCAACUUACUAGCUAUGGCAGUGAAAUUUAACAUUAUUAGCCAGCCGGAUAACUGUUCUGUGGAAUUGGGUGUUCAUGGCCCUGAUCUACUAGUGAAACAUGUGCCAUUUGCUUAAAAAGUUGACUGCCUUGAAUGGUGCAAGGAGCUGGUUAUGUAGGAAGUGGAAUGGUGAAAAGAGUGCAUCUUGUAAAGGAUAAUGCCAACACACCUGGGUUGAAGCUUUGGAGAUUUAAAGAUGCUCAUGUUAAUAUCUCAGUGAUGCAGGUGCUCAAGUAAAUUCUUGGCAUGAGGCAAAUGAUUUGAGCAUUGAGCAUAUGGGUUAUCUUGAAACAGAUUGAUAAAAGAUUUUUUAUCAGUUAUGAAGAGGUUUACUAGCCUGACAAACAGUUUGCACAGUUAAGUCAUUUUCCUGUUCCAAAUCCAUCAAGUUGAAGGAAUUCGACAAAAUUUUUGGGCGUCUUGAAAUGGAGCCACAGCAUAGCAGCUGUUGGAUGUGUUUAAAAUGUGUGGGUUCCGUGAUGGUGAUGCUACCAUACCGAGGUACAUACAUUCCAUUGAAUCAUAAGAAAUGCAAAGUUACGUUACAUAGAAUCAUAAGCAAUACCAAGUGGGAUCUAUCUACUAGAUAUUUCAAGAUGAUGAUUGGACAUAUUUUGUUUCUCUGGACAAUCGUGACUGUUCAUUUUCAUCUCAGUAAUCGGAAGCUUAAGCUCACCUGAUUGGCA
Long non-coding RNA from Magnolia sinica, 2741 nucleotides. RefSeq lists it as uncharacterized. NCBI's taxonomy places the organism in Eukaryota, Viridiplantae, Streptophyta, Magnoliopsida, Magnoliales, Magnoliaceae. The transcript has 3 exons. The record is from RefSeq and is a predicted model, not a curated record.